ACUCAAAUGAAUUGACGGGGACCCGCACAAGAGGUGGAGUAUGUGGUUUAAUUCGACGCUACGCGAAAAACCUUACCUGGGCUCGAACGACUGGUGGUAGCAUUUAUGAAAGUAGAUGCGACCCGCAAGGGAGCCAGCCGAGGUGCUGCAUGGUUGUCGUCAGCUCGUGUCGUGAGAUGUUGGGUUAAGUCCCGCAACGAGCGCAACCCCUAUCCUGUGUUGCCUAGCAAUAGGAUCUCUCAGGAGACUGCCGCGGAUAACGUGGAGGAAGGUGGGGAUGACGUCAAAUCAUCAUGGCCUUUAUGUCCAGGGCUACACACGUACUACAAUGGCACAGACAGAGGGCAGCAAUACCGCAAGGUGGAGCCAAUCCUUAAACUGUGCCCCAGUUCAGAUUGUGGGCUGCAAUUCGCCCACAUGAAGCCGGAAUCUCUAGUAAUCGCAGAUCAGAACGCUGCGGUGAAUACGUUCCCGGGUCUUGUACACACCGCCCGU
Molecule: ribosomal RNA, 495 nt
Filed under: uncultured bacterium
Lineage: Bacteria
Description: bacterial SSU rRNA
Rfam family: Bacterial small subunit ribosomal RNA
Source: RNAcentral